Long non-coding RNA from Acinonyx jubatus (cheetah), 1168 nucleotides. RefSeq lists it as uncharacterized. The transcript has 3 exons. The record is from RefSeq and is a predicted model, not a curated record. Lineage: Eukaryota; Metazoa; Chordata; Mammalia; Carnivora; Felidae.
GGAGGGAGGAGACAAGGCAGGGCCACAGCGGGAGGCGGUAACGCGGCGCCGAGUGGUCUCUUGGGAGUUGUAGUUCUCCGACUGAAGAAAAAAGGGAUACAUCGUGGUUGAGGAAGCGUCCCGGCUCUCACUGCACUGCGCAUGCUCGGGGAGAGGCUCAGCCCCCUGCUGUUACUAUGGUCACCGACACACUGAGGAAGAGAACGUGUUCUUUGCUGCUGCUGGCUGAACAAGGGCCUUCUUGUCUUAAGGUCAGAUAUCAGGCCGAAGAUACUUCUUGGAGUCAAAUCACAGAGACAUUCUAGUGCUUGACCACAACACUUAUAUCCCUAUGGUAUUGAUGGCAGACAUCCGGGACUAUGAAUACAGUGAUGAACAGGUCCGGGGAAGCUCCUGAUGUCAAGAUCUACAAGGGAUGGGGAACAGUAAGAGGAAUGAGCUGGCAGGAGCAAGAACUGUUGGGAACAGCACAACAAGGCAGCGGGUGGGGGGUGGGAGCACCAGACUCUGUACAGUUACUAUUUAAUUCCCUCUUUGCAACCAUUCUGCAACUUGGAAGCAGCACUUUUUAGAUGAAGAAUUGAGGUUGUGAAUCGUUAAAUAAAUUUUCCCCAAAUUACAUAAUUAGUAAAUAGUAAACCAGGUCUGUUGUCUGACAUGAAAGGUUAAUUUCUUUCUCCCAUACCUCACUACUAUAACAAACCCCCAGAAACAGGAACCUACAGAAACAUUUAGUCUACCAUCCUGUAUAAAAGGGAAGAGCCCUGAAUGCUAUACCAGCCUGUGAGGGCUUUGUUGAAUACAUAAAGUAGUUGAAUAUAAAAAUGGUACAAUAAAAUAUGUACAAUUAAGACCUUAAUAAUCAAGAACCAGUGGCAUUAUGUUAAUUACUCUCUGUUAAAGAACACAGGGGAAAGUAUAGCAUAUUUUGAAAAGUCUAAAAAUAGAUACGGUUAAAGUAAAACUUGUGCAUUUAAAGGGAUGAGCUUCAAGUAUCUGGAAAAUUCUCCUAUGUGGAAUACCUUUUUUCUAAUGAUAACAGACAAACCAAGUUUCCUAUUUUGGGAAACAGUACAAAUAGACAUAUUAAAAUAAAGGUUAAGAAAAUUUUGUAUCAUAGGGCCCAAUAAAAACAGUGCCAACACUUUCAUACCAACUUAGAUUAUGU